GACGAACGCUGGCGGCGUGCUUAACACAUGCAAGUCGAACGGAAAGGCCCUGCUUUUGUGGGGUGCUCGAGUGGCGAACGGGUGAGUAACACGUGAGUAACCUGCCCUUGACUUUGGGAUAACUUCAGGAAACUUGGGCUAAUACCGGAUAGGAGCUCCUGCUGCAUGGUGGGGGUUGGAAAGUUUCGGCGGUUGGGGAUGUACUCGCUGCUUAUCAGCUUGUUGGUGGGGUAGUGGCUUACCAAGGCUUUGACGGGUAGCCGGCCUGAGAGGGUGACCGGCAAAAUUGGGACUGAGAUACGGCCCAGACGCCUACGGGAGGCAGCAGUGGGGAAUAUUGCACAAUGGGCGGAAGCCUGAUGCAGCAACGCCGCGUGCGGGAUGACGGCCUUCGGGUUGUAAACCGCUUUCGCCUGUGACGAAGCGUGAGUGACGGUAAUGGGUAAAGAAGCACCGGCUAACUACGUG
RNAcentral lists this ribosomal RNA (468 nucleotides) under uncultured bacterium. RNAcentral describes it as "partial 16S ribosomal RNA". It matches the Rfam family "Bacterial small subunit ribosomal RNA", at positions 28 to 507 of the family's 1533-position model. The record is from RNAcentral.